This 256-nucleotide long non-coding RNA is filed under the name Musa acuminata (dwarf banana). RNAcentral describes it as "long non-coding RNA (MACU_LNC000140)". Lineage: Eukaryota; Viridiplantae; Streptophyta; Magnoliopsida; Zingiberales; Musaceae. The record is from RNAcentral.
GGGGAGGAACAUGGGGAGAUCGCCAUGCUGCGAGAAAGCUCACACCAACAAGGGUGCAUGGACCAAGGAGGAGGACGAGCGCCUCAUCGCUCACAUCCGAGCCCACGGAGAGGGCUGCUGGCGUUCCCUCCCCAAGGCCGCCGGUCUGCUCCGGUGCGGCAAGAGCUGCCGCCUUCGGUGGAUCAACUACCUCCGCCCCGACCUCAAGCGCGGCAACUUCACCGAGGACGAGGACGAGCUCAUCAUCAAGCUCCAC